Molecule: long non-coding RNA, 3316 nt
Organism: Arachis duranensis
Lineage: Eukaryota; Viridiplantae; Streptophyta; Magnoliopsida; Fabales; Fabaceae
Exons: 5
Source: RefSeq, a predicted model, not a curated record
UAUUCUCAAUUUCUAUUAUAUGUAUUCAUCCACCAAAAUUUAAAGGUCUUCAAUCAUUAUGAUUCUUAUAUUACAUUCCUACAUCAAACUAAUUUCGUUACACCACACUUUUCAUGACCGUAUCCAAUUUUUUAAUCUCCCUUUCUCAGUUUGCUUUACAAUUUAGAUGUACACACAUUCCUAAAAUUUCAAAUUUUAAAUUUUGAAUACAAAAUUAAAACUAAAAAAAGGAUUUCUCUCCCUUCUUUGUUUCCAAUUUUAUCUCUUUCUCCUCUUUUUCGGUUCUUCUACUUCUUCAUCAUCAGUUUCUCUUCUUUUUUUUCUCCUCCUUUUAAUGAUUCUAUUUUUGUAUAAUCUUCUUCUUCUUCUUCAAUAGUUUUUAUUCAUCAUCUUCUUCUUCUAAUUCUUACUGUUCCUAAUUUAAGUCAGAAGUGGAGAUUAUAGAGUUAGUGUACGCACUAAGAUAGAGAAUGUCACUGUACUUGAUGGAUCCAACCUUUCGGGGAGUCAUCGCGGUGGAGGCAACGCUAUCGCUGGUGGUAGGGUUGCGGCAGUGGAUGAGAUGGCGACUGCUACGGUGGUGGACCAUGCUAUGGCGGUGUUGGACCAUGCUACGUCGGUGGUGGUCGCAGUGGGUGCGCAGAUCGCUGGAAGGUACUGAGUCACCGCCACAAAGAGCACAUGCAAUGAGACUAUGAAAGCAAAGAGCACAACAAUGAUAUAAUAAUUUUAUAUUUGUCUUUAUCUUUCUGUCCGUAAAGACUAGAUUUGCAACCAGACAAGGAUUCAUCUUUAUUUUCAAGAUGUUCCUAAUGUCCGUCCUUUUAAUUUUGACUAUAUCUAUAUGUAAUUUGAUAUGAAAUUUGAAUUUUAAAUAUGCACAACCUUAUCAAGCAUUCAAACCAUCUCUCAAAUAAUCAAAUUUCAAUUUUCUUCUUACCAUAACUCUCUUUCUUUCUCUAUCUUCUCUCAUGUCUUUCUUCUCCCAGAUCUAUAUAUCUCUCUGCAUCAUUUCUUUUCUUUUAUUUUUGUUAUCUCUGUGUUCUCUUUGUCAAACGGAGAUUUCUUGAUGGUGACAUGCAUUAUGGUAUUGUGUUUGUUGCGGGGAAGCAGAGGGAAGAAGUAGAGACAUGACAGGGAGGAGCGAGAGAUGCAUACUGGCAUCGACAACAAUGGGCAUGCAGUUUGGUGAGGCUGAGAUGAUUUGGAUGGCAAUAGACAGAACGGAAGAGAAGUCAUAGUUGUAGCACCAGAAGCGGCCAUCAACGGUCUUGGUGCGAUAAUGUUGUAUUCUAUGCUUAUAGGCGUCUUUGCUUGGUGUGGAGCUUUUGAUGCAGUAAAUCCAUAACCUCAUUGUUGUUGCCGGGAUUCUAUUUGCAAUUCCCCAAAAGAGUACGUGAAGGCAAAAUCAAAUUGGCUACUGGAAAUUCGUGGGCAACCCCGGCAAGAAGGUUUAGCUUUCGGAGUCCAAGAUCCAGCAGCUCUGCUUGAUUUCCAGAGACAUUUUCUUGCAACAGCCAGAUUUAUGGGAUCUCCAAUCUUUCAUUUAGAUUUGUGGUACUCUAACUUCUUGCAAUCCCUGACACUAUGGCUUUCUUUCUUCAUAACAAGUGAAUAUGCACACUUUUGUGCACCCCUUACUCUACUGCUUUCUUUCUUGCAAUCCCUUUUGUUCGGUCUUCUUCCUUUCUUUUUGAAGUCAGCAUUUGAUUGAUUUGUUAUUGCGUUUAUUUUUUAUUUUAAUUUUUUCUAAUAGUGGUUUUAUAUUCUUUUAAUUUAAGAGUGACAUUACUAUUAUAUUUUUUAAUAUGUUUUUUAACCAUAUUUUAAAAUCUUGAUUUUCAUUUCAUAUCACCUCUCUAUAAUCUUAUUUUUCCAAUACAUUAUUGACUAAGAUUUGGUAACUUCUACUGUUUAUGAUACACGGUUUGGUAUCUCCUUUUUGAGUUUUGAUAAUGAAAUUUGGUAAAUAUUUUGAUUUUAACUGUUUAUGUGAUCUUUUCAUAUCUUUAUCAUGAUCAUAACCUCAGAAAAAAGAAAAUAAUAUCACCACAGAAGCAAGGAGGUGAAGAAACCAUGAUGGCAGUCCUGAAUGUAAUAAUUGAAAGAGAAGGGAGGAAUUGGAGAAAGAAAGUGGUGGUUCAGGUUCACAUUCUUCCUUGCAAAGCCUUCUCUGGCAUGGUGGUUCUGCUGAUGGUGCUUGGUUCAGUUGUGCCUCAAAUAAGGUAUGAUAGGUUCCAUUAACACUGCCAUACACAUUCUCACUUUAGUUUAUUUCUUAUUUUGUAGUUAUUAGUUCAGUGCCUUCAUUGCCAUACUCUAUUGUGGCAUAUCUUUUGGGGUGCAUUAAAACAUGCGAAUGGAAUUGAAGGCAGAUCAAUAAUUGUUGUUAGAGUAAUAGCAUGCUUUCAACCCUUGCAUAAUUGUCAGGUAAGUACUAUAUGACUUAUAUAGACAUGAUUUUCAAGCUUGAUGUGAGAUAAAAAAAAAACACUUAUGUCUAUUAUGUGUUAUCCUCUGUUAUUAAUUAUCAGAUUGUUUUAUGAACUCAUGGGGGAUGAAUGCUAUCUUCAAGUUUUUCGUCAUUUGCUAAAGCCUGUCAUGAAGAUACAUAAAAUUUUUCUCAUCUAGCUGAAGCUUGAAGUUUGUAGUUUUCUUUUAUUAUUAUUUGUCUAUAAAAAAAUCAAGUUAUUAAAAAUUCCAUAUCAAAGCAUUGUAUCGCCCUAGCACCUAUUGAUAAAUAUUUUUAUGUUAUGCAUUUUCACUGAAAAGGGUCUAUUUGUCAUCUUCAUCAUUGAUUGAUUGACUAUUGUUCUUUAGGUUAUUUUUUCAUUGAAUGGUUAAGGCUCAUACGAGCUAUAUGUUAUAAGGAUUUGUAUUUUAUUUUUAUCCUUUUUGAAAUUAUAUGGUUUGCUUUGUGUAUUAUGCUAUGUUUGAAAGACAUUCCAGCAGAAGAGGGUAUUAGGUUAAAGUUUUUAUGAUAAAAAAAAGUGUGAAAAAUAACAAAUAUUGAUAAUCAGGUUGAAUACUACCGUUACUCUCCAUUUCAAAGCUUUGGUUAGACAUAGUGAAUAAGAUUUGGAAUUACUUUUGCUCAUGUUUUGAUCUGUGAGAGUAUGCAUUAGAGUAUAUAUAUGUUUGUUUUCUUUUCAAGUUAUUUUUUUCAUUUGUGAUUGAACUUAUGUAACAUAUAAUGAUUAAUUCAAAUAAUCAACAUAUAUUGUUGCAUGGAGAGGUUUCUUCAUUUUAUGGUAUUAUGAAUUCAAAUAUCUUAGUGAUUAAAUGAUAGAUUAAAUAACAUUAAUUACGUCUUUGU